RNAcentral lists this ribosomal RNA (532 nucleotides) under uncultured bacterium. RNAcentral's name for it is "bacterial SSU rRNA". It matches the Rfam family "Bacterial small subunit ribosomal RNA", at positions 776 to 1304 of the family's 1533-position model. The record is from RNAcentral.
AAAUAGAUACCCGGGUAGUCCACGCCGUAAACGAUGAGUGCUAAGUGUUAGAGGGUUUCCGCCCUUUAGUGCUGCAGCUAACGCAUUAAGCACUCCGCCUGGGGAGUACGGCCGCAAGGCUGAAACUCAAAGGAAUUGACGGGGGCCCGCACAAGCGGUGGAGCAUGUGGUUUAAUUCGAAGCAACGCGAAGAACCUUACCAGGUCUUGACAUCCUCUGACAACCCUAGAGAUAGGGCUUUCCCCUUCGGGGGACAGAGUGACAGGUGGUGCAUGGUUGUCGUCAGCUCGUGUCGUGAGAUGUUGGGUUAAGUCCCGCAACGAGCGCAACCCUUGAUCUUAGUUGCCAGCAUUCAGUUGGGCACUCUAAGGUGACUGCCGGUGACAAACCGGAGGAAGGUGGGGAUGACGUCAAAUCAUCAUGCCCCUUAUGACCUGGGUCUACACACGUGCUACAAUGGAUGGUACAAAGGGCUGCAAACCUGCGAAGGUAAGCGAAUCCCAUAAACGCCAUUCUCAGUUCGGAUUGCAGG